AGUGAACGCUGGCGGUAGACCUAACACAUGCAAGUCGAACGGCAGCACAGUAAGAGCUUGCUCUUACGGGUGGCGAGUGGCGGACGGGUGAGGAAUACAUCGGAAUCUACUUUUUCGUGGGGGAUAACGUAGGGAAACUUACGCUAAUACCGCAUACGACCUACGGGUGAAAGCAGGGGAUCUUCGGACCUUGCGCGAUUGAAUGAGCCGAUGUCGGAUUAGCUAGUUGGCGGGGUAAAGGCCCACCAAGGCGACGAUCCGUAGCUGGUCUGAGAGGAUGAUCAGCCACACUGGAACUGAGACACGGUCCAGACUCCUACGGGAGGCAGCAGUGGGGAAUAUCGGACAAUGGGCGCAAGCCUGAUCCAGCCAUACCGCGUGGGUGAAGAAGGCCUUCGGGUUGUAAAGCCCUUUUGUUGGGAAAGAAAAGCAGCAGGUUAAUACCCCGCUGUUCUGACGGUACCCAAAGAAUAAGCACCGGCUAACUUCGUG
RNAcentral lists this ribosomal RNA (492 nucleotides) under uncultured bacterium. RNAcentral's name for it is "partial 16S ribosomal RNA". It matches the Rfam family "Bacterial small subunit ribosomal RNA", at positions 29 to 507 of the family's 1533-position model. The record is from RNAcentral.